UACGUAGGGGGCAAGCGUUAUCCGGAUUUACUGGGUGUAAAGGGAGCGUAGACGGCGGUGCAAGCCAGAUGUGAAAGCCCGGGGCUCAACCCCGGGGCUGCAUUGGAAACUGGCAGGCUGGAGUGCCGGAGAGGCAGGCGGAAUUCCUAGUGUAGCGGUGAAAUGCGUAGAUAUUAGGAGGAACACCAGUGGCGAAGGCGGCCUGCUGGACGGUGACUGACGCUGAGGCUCGAAAGCGUGGGGAGCAAACAGG
RNAcentral lists this ribosomal RNA (253 nucleotides) under uncultured Blautia sp. RNAcentral's name for it is "partial 16S ribosomal RNA". It matches the Rfam family "Bacterial small subunit ribosomal RNA", at positions 524 to 776 of the family's 1533-position model. Lineage: Bacteria; Bacillati; Bacillota; Clostridia; Lachnospirales; Lachnospiraceae. The record is from RNAcentral.